AGAGUUUGAUUAUGGCUCAGGACAAACGCUAACGGUGCGCCUAAUACAUGCAAGUCGAACGAGCGAUGUAGAAGUGGCAACACUUUUUCAAAGCAAGUGGCGAACGGGUGAGUAACGCGUAGGUAAUCUGCCUUGGAGAUUGGGACAACCAUUCGAAAGAAUGGCUAAUACCAAAUACCUUAUAUUAACCGCAUGAUUUUUAUAAUAAAGGGGGCUUUUAGCUCUCGCUUCAAGAUGAACCUGCGUCCUAUUAGCUAGUUGGUGAGGUAACAGCUCACCAAGGCAACGAUGGGUAGCCGGCCUGAGAGGGUGAUCGGCCACACUGGGACUGAGAUACGGCCCAGACUCCUACGGGAGGCAGCAGUAGGGAAUCUUGCGCAAUGGGCGAAAGCCUGACGCAGCGACACCGUGUGAAGGAUGAAGGCCUUCGGGUCGUAAACUUCUGUCAAUUGGGGACGAAGGUAGUAGGGUUAAUACCCCGAAUACUGACGGUACCCGAUAAGGAAGUCUCGGCUAACUCCGUGCCAGCAGCCGCGGUAAGACGGAGGAGGCAAGCGUUGUCCGGAAUCAUUGGGCGUAAAGAGCGCGUAGGCUGUUUUCUAAGUCAUAUGUGAAAACCUCAGGCUUAACUUGAGGACUGCAUGUGAAACUGGGAAACUUGAGUGCAGUAGGG
This 673-nucleotide ribosomal RNA is filed under the name uncultured Actinomycetes bacterium. RNAcentral describes it as "bacterial SSU rRNA". It matches the Rfam family "Bacterial small subunit ribosomal RNA", at positions 8 to 656 of the family's 1533-position model. Lineage: Bacteria; Bacillati; Actinomycetota; Actinomycetes. The record is from RNAcentral.